GACGAACGCUGGCGGCGCGCCUAACACAUGCAAGUCGAACGAGCGAGCGAGAGGUUGCUUUCUCUAGCGAGUGGCGAACGGGUGAGUAACGCGUGAGGAACCUGCCUCACUUAGUGGGACAACAUUACGAAACGACUGCUAAUACCGCAUAAGCUCACAGGUCGGCAUCGACCAGGGGGAAAAUGAGCACUCCGCGUUGAGAUGGCCUCGCUUCCGAUUAGCUAGUUGGUGAGGUAACGGCCCACCAAGGCAACGAUCGGUAGCCGGACUGUGAGGCUGAACGGAGACACUGGCACUGAGACACAGCGCAGAAUACUACGCGAGGCAGGAGAGGGGGAUCUUGCAAAAUGGCGGAAGCCAUGAAGGCGUGCGGCUGCUUAAACGCAGAAGGUCUGAGGAUUGAACACUCGUGUUGUACCGGAAGAUAAUGACGGUACUCAAAAAGGAAGUGACGGCUAACUUCGUG
RNAcentral lists this ribosomal RNA (466 nucleotides) under uncultured bacterium. RNAcentral's name for it is "partial 16S ribosomal RNA". It matches the Rfam family "Bacterial small subunit ribosomal RNA", at positions 28 to 507 of the family's 1533-position model. The record is from RNAcentral.